GACGAACGCUGGCGGCGUGCCUAAUACAUGCAAGUAGAACGCUCAAGGAGGAGCUUGCUUCUCUGGAUGAUUUGCGAACGGGUGAGUAACGCGUAGGUAAUCUGCCUGUUAGCGGGUGAUAACAAUUGGAAACGAUAGCUAAUACCGCAUAAUAUUAGAUGUUCCAUGACAUUUGCUUAUAAGGUGCAAUUUUAUCACUACUAGUUGGACCUUCGUUGUAUUAGUUAGUUGGUGGUGUAAAGGCUUACCAAGGCGACGACUCAUAGCCGGCCCGGGAGGGGGGACGGCCCAAAUGGGAAUGGGGACACGCCCAGACUCCUGAGGGAGGCCGCAGGAAGGGAUCCUCGGCCAUGGGGGGAAGUCUGAACGGGCCAAGCCGCGUGAGUGGAGAAAGGUUUUGGGUCGGUAAGAUCCGUUGUAUGAGGAAGACGAAUGUGAGAAUGGAAAGUUCACACUGUGACGGUAUCUAAUCAGAAAGGGACGGCUAACUACGUG
RNAcentral lists this ribosomal RNA (495 nucleotides) under uncultured bacterium. Its description in RNAcentral is "partial 16S ribosomal RNA". It matches the Rfam family "Bacterial small subunit ribosomal RNA", at positions 28 to 507 of the family's 1533-position model. The record is from RNAcentral.